GGACCCUUAGCUCAGUUGGUAGAGCAACUGACUCUUAAUCAGUGGGUCUAGGGUUCGAAUCCCUAAGGGUCCACCA
This 76-nucleotide transfer RNA is filed under the name Bacillota bacterium. RNAcentral describes it as "tRNA-Lys". It matches the Rfam family "tRNA". From Rfam's summary of the family: Transfer RNA (tRNA) molecules are approximately 80 nucleotides in length. Their secondary structure includes four short double-helical elements and three loops (D, anti-codon, and T loops). The record is from RNAcentral. Lineage: Bacteria; Bacillati; Bacillota. RNAcentral also lists the same sequence under 1 other name.